Acinonyx jubatus (cheetah) is the source of this 6414-nucleotide long non-coding RNA. RefSeq lists it as uncharacterized. NCBI's taxonomy places the organism in Eukaryota, Metazoa, Chordata, Mammalia, Carnivora, Felidae. The transcript is spliced from 5 exons. The record is from RefSeq and is a predicted model, not a curated record.
UUGGGCAAAUUGUCUCCGCUUGCUACACGAGUAUGAACCUGUUCUACGAUCGGGGCUAUUUUAAAUGGCUGUUGCAAGGAAAGCACUUUACGUAGUGCCCUGAAAGGCAACGGUUAACGGAGGCAAAGCACUUUACAGAACGCCCCAGUGUACGGUCAAUUCUCAGUAAAUGGUUUUGUUUUUGCCUUGUUAAGGCGAGAUCCUGCCUCCCACACGCAGAGACGUGGCCUCAUCUUUGCCAGCGUCAGUGGAACCCUCUCUCGGCAAGGCUCUGACUCUGGACUGUGUGCCCGAGACUGCACCUCCAGUACUAGCAAGAAGGUAGAACAGUGGCCGAACGACGUUCACCGAGCAGGGACCGAGCGCCACGCUGGGUGGUUUUGCAAGUAACAGCUCACUCACUUCCUACAGCAGCGGUGCCAGCCCAGGAGGAGGUACUGUUCUCCCAUCUUGUGGAUGAGGACACUGAGGCAACCUCUUCCUGGACAUUUGUCCAACUUACGGAGCUGCAAGGUGCGGGCCGUGAGUCUAAGCCCGUGAGUCUUCGGCGAUUCUAACCGCUACCCCCUCUGACGGUUACCCUGCCUCCAAACGUACAAGUAGAUGACCUUUCUUUCCUCGGCUCAAAGAAAGAACAACUCUCCAGGGCUGGCACCAGGAGGGACGCAGGCGAUCAGCGAGCCAGACUGCUCGCGAGCCUGGGAGGGGAGUGAAGCCCGGGAACCAGCCACUUGCACACGUCCCUACAGCUGAGUGAGUAUUAGCUUCGCAGCUGCAACCUGGGUCUGUGCAGUGUCAAUCCUGCACCCUCUGCCUCCGUCUCUCGCACCCCACAACGACACGACCCAUCGUCUCCCGUGCAUUAUUAAUUUCCUAUGUGGUUACGUUGUUUCUUAAUACCCAUGUCUCCCCAGUCAACCGUAGCCUUUCCAUAUGGAGUUUCAGAUCCUAUAAAUUAAAUGAGAACAGCAUGUUACACAGGAAUGAAGGAAUGGUUGUUGGAUUUUUUUUUUUUUUUUUUUUUGAGAUUACAGUGACUUCGACCCGUAGGUAUUUAUGGAAAAACACUAGGAUAUUUACAAAUGUGUUAACGCUGGAACUGUAUUUUAAUUGGUUUCAGGAAAGAAAAGGACUUGGAAGCCCGGGGAUUAAUAUAAUUACUUUGCUAGAGACGAUGAAUUCUUGGCUGGCGUCUUCUGCAGGGGACCGGGUCUGUGAGCCCCUGCGAGGCCGGAGCCCUGGCGGAGAGAAGCCCGGGGCGGCAGAACCCUGGUGCGGCAGGGGGAGCAUCUGAAAGAGACGCCAGGGCUCUGCGCUUGGGGACGAGACAGUUAAAGCCUCCCCGUGCGAGCCAGUUCUAUCACACGGCGCUGGCGACAGGUCAACAGUCUGGCUGGAGCGCGGACGGGACUGAUGAUGCCAGGCGGUGCCAGGGACCCCGGGGAGCCCUAAAGAGGCUCCCCACACUGGCUUUCCUUCUGCAGCCCGGGGGAUGUUCCGGCAACUGCCUCAUGCGAGGAAACUGGGGCUGUGUCGCUGCUUUCCGGGCGAGCCACGCUGGAGCACUGACGUCCCCGGGCCGAGAGCCCACUGUGGCUGUGACAAAGGGACCCCGGCUGAGAGCCUGCGCAGGUUGACUGUCAAUGGGGUUUCUACGAGUUGCUUACACAGUGUGAGCAGAGCCGCUAGCAAUGAGAAGGCACAGAGGAGCCAGCACGCGCUCAGGAGGGCAGCCGGGCCCUUGAGCGGCCAGGCCUCGGAUGUCAUUCAGGGAGCAACGUUCUACGUGCUCUGUGCUUCUUUGUUGGUCCAUUUGUCUGUUUUUUUCUGGUACCUUCUGUGGCGGAGUAAUGCAGGGGCAUUUGCAGAAACGGAAACCCUCACAUCUCUCCCGACGAGUUCAUUGUCUUUACCGAACAAUCAACUUUAAAGCCAUCUGAUUUGUAGAUUCAUCAACAGUGAUCAGCAGUUACACAGAUCCUCUAAGCAAUCAUGAAUAUGGUUUUUAAUUUAUUAAGUUCCUUCUAUAGGACAACCACUGAAUUAAAUACUUUGACUUACCAUAUUAAAACCCUCAAAAUAACUCUACGUAUUAGGCACGCCUAUGAUCCCCAUGUUUGUUAACAAACUCAAAGAAAGGUCUGUUGACUCGCAGGUCAGUCAUGGAGCUGACUGUAAACCAUGCCUGCUCGUCUCCAGCCCUGGACCUUGGCUGCUACACGAUGUUGGGGAUUUCAGGCCUGGAAGGGCCCUCAGAUGCCAACCUCUCUGGCUUCUUCCUUGGAUGGAUGGGGGCAGCCUGGCUCACGUGGCUCGCUGAAGACAAACUAGAAGCCAGAUUGCCCGUGGCUCAGUCCAGUGCCGUCCUAACCACAACAUGUCGCCGAAGGGAAAUGACGCAGAGUACGUUCCGCCUGUUCUCUGUCCGUUCUUAAUACGGGAUGGUUUCCCGGCGCAGUCUGCCAUGUUGGCGUGUCUGCGUGAAGGCCAUUGAUUGGAAAUGACAUUCCAUUGAAAACGCCUCUGAGGACCAUACAUGGAUCUCCAGCAGGGAAGGGUUAAAGUUGCAGGGAUUUUGCAGGCUGGAUCAAAUGUUCUUGAGAGGCCAUUCUUCACAUCUUGUUUCUUUAGCACCGGGAGAAGGCGAGUAAUCAAAGGUGACAAGCUUUCUCUGCUCGUCGGGUCCCAUUCCCGGCGCAGGGCAGCCCACAGGCACAUUGAUCUGCAGCGGCAGCUGCUACUGGCCUCUGAUGCAGAGAUUCCAGGCCACACGGGGCCUUGUCGUGUUAUUGGAAGGAAGGGAGGAAGGAGUGAAGGCACCACUAUCAGCGAAUUGAGACAAAACCUAUUGUCUGCAACCAUGGGAUUCGGUCACCUUGAGUACAUGUGCAGUGUGAUUUAGCUGCUAUCUCUGCUCAGGGCUCGGAGGUGGAAGGCAAGCACACUGGACGGUUGCUGGCCUACUUGGAUGUAUUGGUCUGCAGUCUGAAGGGGCUAGGAGGGGCCAGAGGCACUCCUCUUGGAACAGACACCGAGAGCAGUACGAGAGCUGUGUUACAAAAGUCUCUGUCUGGAAGCGGAGGAAGACACCACAGAAUAACGAAUGCCCUUCUCUGCCAUUUUCUCAUGGAUUCUUUUUUUUUUUUUUUUAAGUAUAAUUUAUUGUCAUGUUAGCUAACUGACAGUGUAUACAGUGUGCUCUGGGUUUGGGGGGGUAGAUUCCGUGAUUCAUCGCUUACAUACAACACCCGGGGCUCAGCCCGACGAAGCUACCUUCUGGAAUAGAAGGGGACAGUGGGAAAGGGGGAGAAAAAGAAUCCAUCGACGCGUAUGCAUCUGCUGUCUGCGAGGCCCUUCACGAUAACGAUAACCUUAUUAUCGUUAACUACUUUCUAACCGCCUUGCAUGAGAGAAGAUGUUUAUCGCCAUUUAAAUAAGGAAGGAAUGAAUUUGGGAGAGGCAAACCAACUUGCCCAAAUCCUACGCCGCAUCUGCAGAAAGAACUGGAAGGAAGGUGUGAUGAGGUUGAGGAUAAGGACAGUCAAGGCCGUUCGUUUCCUUAUGGGAUAUGUCAUAUUCCUUGAGACGUCCUGCAGAGUGGCUUUGAAAUGUUCUGCUGCCUCCUCGUCAUCUACGUGGGGCCAAGGGGGGCUGAAGAGUCAAGUCAGGAGACCUCAUUUCUCACCUGCACACCUGGAGCUGGAACAGACAAUUAGGGGAGCCCUGGAACAGGGCAUCGUGGGUGUGAAUCUGCCAAUCUCUUCAAUGACUUCGGAUAAGUUGACCCUCAACUUUCUUCACCUGGGUAGCGGGGGGAUGCGUGCUUCUUUCUGAGAGUUACCGUGAGGGAGGUUAAAUAAGACGCCAGCAGAGUGCCUGUUGUCCGCUCAGUGUUACUCGGCUCUUUUCUUCCCCAGCUAUGCUUAGUUAUUUUUCUUUAAUUCAUGCCAUAGGGCACCUCUUUGAGAUCCAAGACCCUACCCUCCUUUCAUACUACCGGGACCCCAAAAACAUGCCUCCGAAGGCAAUGUAAACAUAGUACUUAGCCACAGAUAUUUAUUAUUAGUAUUGUUUUUAAGUGGCUUUGUGGCAUUUGAAAUACUGUCUACUAUGACAGUACUAUGACUAUUAAACCUUAAUUCCUUUCUUAGAGGCCUCCAAAUCUAGCCACACUGGGGCUUCCAGGUGGAGGCGUGGGCAGGAGGCUUCAGCUGGUGACAAAGGGUGAUAAUCAGCCUCUGAAAACAGACUCUCACAUGCCCUCAAUUUGAGUGGGGGCCUCAGCAAUCCUUUCUCUAUUUCUUGGGUUGAUGGACAAAAGGCGUAUCCCCAGGAUUUUAAUCUUCAUUCACCACUCCUUCCAAGCCUCCACCUUUUUGUUUGCGUGUUUGCUAAGGUAAGACCCCACACUGUGCUUUUCAGUGGCAGCGAUCUAUGAUUCUUCAUAUGCAGGGAUCCCUCCAAUGCUAAGGAGGAGAUUAAAAUAUCUCGGACCAGCAGUGUGCCUGGCAGGGGCUGCCUGUGUGUCCCAACCCCCAGUCAGCAGGAGCAGCACGUGUUGGUGACUUCUUCAGAGCUAAUGUUAAAAAGUGAACUCACAGGCCCUGAAAAGAGAUACGUAUAUAAGCAAUUGAAAAGAAAAGAGUUGAUUUGUGGCAAAACAGGGCACAUUUUUACGCCAAAGCCAAAUGUUCAUUUUACUCAGCACCCCCGUGUUCCUCUGUAUCUGUACCUAAACACACACACACGCACGUGCACGUGCACACACACACACACACACACGUGUCCUGUGUGUGUGGGAAUAUGCACACAAUCUUCGUAUUUGAUACACAUAAAACAUAGACACAACCCAAUCCAAAGCAGCUGUUGGGAUUCAAGUCCAAGACUAGAACAUGAGACCCUCCAGACAUGUGAACAUAAAUGCAGAGCAGAAAUUCAACAAGAUGAUACCCCCCCCUUCCCCCACCCCCACUGUGUGUAAUCCUUUCUCUCUCAUAUUUUUAUAUAUUUUACACCCGUGGAUCUUGAUGAACUUAAGCCCGGGCAUUGUACAGAUUCCAGAUUUCAAAUGAAUAACUCUUUCAUUUAGUUAAUAGCUGCAGCAGAGCCAUAAAACCGUAAUAGUUUAUGACUUUCAGGAUAUAACCUGCAACCACAGACAAUAUAAAUUAUAUUACAUUGCACUUUAUAGCCGUAUGAAGCACACACAAGACCUCACCGCUGGUGUGAAGGCUGGGGAGUGGGGGUGGGGUGUGAUGAAUUGUUUGUUUGUUUGUUUGUUUGUUUUCCUUCUUGGCUAAGAAACACCUUCAUCCUAUGACCCAGCAAGCCGUCAUUCUGACCGGAGGCCUCCACAGCCGCUGUGCUGAAUGCCAUUGCGACCACAAAAGAAAGCUGUUGAUAAAGGAUCGAGUUCUGGUCGUGGACCUCUUUGGGGUCCGAGAUGCCUGUGCCCCUCUUGUGCCCCCCUCUCCCAGAGGAGGGGAUGAUCACCCUUCUCCGUGAGGUUCCGGCUGUGUAACCGAGCCAACGUGAGUUCCCUCCGAGGUGAGUGGCAAAAACACACCAGGUGUACGUCAUAGAGAUUUGAUAUUUCCAUACAUCAUGAGAUGAUCCCAGUGAUAAGUCUAGUUACCACCUGUCAUCGUACCAAAUGAUUACUAUAUGAGUGACCAUAUUUCCUCCGUUGUACCUCACAUCCCAUGUCUUCCCUAUUUUCUUGGUAGAAGUCUGUGACCUCUUAAUUCCCUCACCCAUUUUGUAGGGAAAGGGGACUAGUAAAAUUAGACCCCGAUGAUAAGGCAUGAGAAGGAAAUAUGUUUCAAAUGCAUGUCUACAUGGGAGGGGCUCCUACAUAAAAACCAUGUUAUGAAAAGGGCCCACAGAACAAACAUGUGUCCUUGGAGAGUCUGGUUGCUUUAAGUUAAGAGCACAUCUGGGGGUUUUCUGCACAUACUGGAGUCAAUUAUAUCUUAUCUCUAUAUGGAGUCAUUCAACAAGCACACCCUGUUCUCGGUCAUGCCUAUGACCCUUGCCAUGGCUCGUGUGGCAGUGUCUGUAGACCAGCAUUCAGGAAAGGCCACCCAAGCCGCCAGCGUGCACGGAGCUUACCCUAGAACUACCUCUCCACUAUCGACAGAGAGGAUCUCAGGCCAACUCACAGAGGAACAAAAGUGCUCAAUAAAUACUUACUCUCAUUUGUAACCUCCUCUGUAUCCUCUCUGAUUUCUUCUCAUUGGGCUUUGAUCUUUGGAAGACAUGGGGUGACCUACCGUGAGCAUAGGUAUAUUCCUGAGUCUAUCCAGAGGCUGAAUCCAUGGUGUUCCUUGAGGUUUCUCCAUCUUUAUUAUUUUUAAGACAGCUCAUCUUUCCUCCAGAAUGUCCCCUGGUGCUUCCGCUUUGAGGUCAAGGCAG